AUUGGACGUCGUAUAGACGUUGAAAUUAGGUCUAAAUUGCGUCCGUCGGUCCAUGACCAGUUUUGGACCUUAGAAUGACGUACAAACUAGGUCCUUUAUUUGGACGUCUAAUAAUGACCCUAUUUGUACGUCAUUAUGAAGUUCAAAAUUCAGACGUCAGUCUAGGUCACUUUUUUGGACGUCAAAAACAGGUGAGGGAAAUCGACAUGAUUGUUGUUGUUGCUGUUGCUUUUUUUUUUUUUGCUUUGUUUUUAAAUAGGCCAUAGUAGUUUUCCUAGUAGGCUAUUUUUUUCUGUUCACAUCGGGUGGGGAAAGAGUGUGUGGCAAUCCCAAACGUGCAAUGCACCGUGGGACACACUGCCUAAACAGAUGUGUCAAAAAAAAUAACACAUUGGGAUAUGUAGACAGCAUUGACAGAUUAGGUGUCAUUUUUGUGUAAGAUUUCAUUUCUGGGUCGUGCUACAAGUGAGAAACUAACGGCCGUUUGGCUGUCCAAUCGCGUGACUGUGGACAUUUGAAAGCAGACUUCCGCCCGCCUUUUCUACCGUUGGAAAUGCAAGAUGCGGCGACUUGACUUCAGACACCGAGAGAGGCUGGCGGCCCAGGUCUUGUGGCCACAUCUGUCCAAGCUCCUACUCUGAUUGAACAGUUGGAUGAUCAGACUGAUGAUGAAAAGUGCUACACAGUUCUCACACAUCUUCUGACUCCGAAGCCGCUGCAGUGUAAAAUCUGAGAUGUCUUUUCUGGUUGAUUUUGUGCAGAUUUCUGACAGCGACAGCGAUGGUGAGGGAAGCAGUGUACCGAACUCUCAGAUGACUCGGACCAGGUGACCAAACCCAUGCAAAGCACAAUGACUGUGCUGAGGCGUUCCGCCCCCCCUCCCCCUCCACACCACUCAAGGCACGGCGGCGGCCCAACCGCAAACUAACGGAGAUUAACAUGAGGCUGGAUGCGCUUGGCUCCCUGUUGCGUCCAUCACCAGAGGGGCCGGGAUUGCUGCGGUAGCUAGCCAAUUAAAGGAGGAGGAUGAAGGAGAGGAGUCUGACGAUGCAGACAUCGCCAUCGUAUGCAGGCCACGCCCUCGCAGGAAAACCAGCCAAUUAAAGCGCUUGCAGCAGCAUCAGCAGAACACACCGGCACGACUGGUAAACUUAAAGAUACGCCACAGACCAGACAUACACCAAAUACAACUAGCACAGACAGAGCUUCUGAAGCAUGCAGUGGAAGACCUGUCAGUCAAGCUAAAGGUCCCGCCCUCCAACCUGCUGCUGCUGCACGGAGAGGCGGAACUUAACACAUCACACACUAUUGGCCAGCUAGGACUCUGCAUCGCUGACAUCUUUGUCUGGAACCAACUUCACAUCCCUCUUCACUGCACUACUGACACUGAGAUGGAAUCCACAACCCAACCACUAGUGGUCUGCAUUGGGAACCUGAAGAGUCUGUCAUAACCGCCAGGAAUGACCGUGUGACCAUUCCCGUUGCAGACGGCCUGACUUGCACAAUUGACAAGCUGUUCAAGCUUUAGUGGGUCUGCAACUUGUUAUAUCCAGCACAGCUCAGCUCUGUUUUCACCUUCUUUGAAUAUGUUUAUGACGUUCCCAUCUCAACCAACAAACGAACAAAGGCACUACAACUUCUCUCAAAGCUUCCCAGCAGCCCAAGUGAUCACUCAACAUGUGUUUAUGCCCAAAAUGUAAAUAGUUACUACAGACAUCAAGAAAGUAGUUUGGCAUCUUUUUCAUGUACACGCUUUGUCAGAUGCACAGGAUAUGAUGAUAAUUUGCAGCCAAGAUGGCUGUUCAAGUUUACAAGGACUUACUAUGUAGACACCACCUACGUAGACACCACCAGUCCACAACAACAGAAAUGGGAGUAUCUUUCAAUGACUCUUUUGAAUCCACUGACAUUCAGACAGCCUAUGCAGCUUCAAGUAACACCUGAAGAAAGAGCAUUUUGUGUCCCUUCUCAAGGACAGAUUCUCCAUAAUUUACCACUUAAUGACAAUUUAUCUGUGUUCAUGCUUGUUAGGAUUAUUACAGGGAAUUAUUUUGAUUAUCAUUUUGGCAACACUUUAUUUUAUCAUUACAUCUAUUAGCUCUAAUACAUACAGUGUUAAUGCCUGUAUGCUGUAUAAGUAACUUGUAAGGCAUGCACUAAGCAAAAUCAAACAUACAUUAGGCAUGUAUUCGCAAAUGCCUUGUUCAUGCACAAUUUGGGAUUUAUUACCUAAUGUAACCUCAGUAAGGACCUAACAAAUGUUUGAUUUCGCUUAGUACAUGCCUUACAAGUUACUUAUACAGGCAUUAACCCAUUGAUGCUGGAUGUUGCGUUGUGCAACAUUGGCCCUGGCGCCUGGAGUUUUGUAUGGCAUCAGCACCCUUUUCUGCAAGUGCUUUAGGCAUCAAUGGGUUAACAUUGUAUGUAUUAGUGCUAAGCGAUGUAAUGUUAAAAUAAAGUGUUACCAUCAUAUUUAAAAAAUAUAUAUAUGUUGUAAAACUGGACGAUUGUGAAAUGAUAUGUGGCAGAUUUAAGACCCAUUGAUGUAAUGCAGAGUUUUCAUUCAGAUGAACUGUCUCUUAACCCAAGGUACAAUGUCUUUUCUUCCAAUAUGUUGGAACCUAUUUCAUAAGAAUGUUAUUUUCAAGAAUAUUUAACACUACUUCGAAUUUCAAGACUUUCGGGUUUUGUAAUACACCGGUAAUGUUGUUAAGAGAUGAUAGUGUACGAGUCAUAACCAUCAAUACUUCAUGAAAUUCGCAGUGGUGUUAAUUAUUCUUGAAAAAGAUCACAUUUGUUAUCUCCCCCUCUUCUGAAAAGCCUAACAAAAAAGAAUAUGACAGUAAAGUUAAUGUAAUACAAUUUUUUUUAAUUGAAUGUAAACACAACUCUACCAAAAAAAACAUUGCUGAGGUAUGUAGUCAAGACUUUUGAAGAUUGAACCUUGUAAACAAAAGUGUUUGCUAAAUAAAAGUAAACCCCCCUGUCA
Long non-coding RNA from Engraulis encrasicolus (European anchovy), 2989 nucleotides. RefSeq lists it as uncharacterized. Lineage: Eukaryota; Metazoa; Chordata; Actinopteri; Clupeiformes; Engraulidae. The transcript is spliced from 8 exons. The record is from RefSeq and is a predicted model, not a curated record.